RNAcentral lists this long non-coding RNA (1283 nucleotides) under Marmota monax (woodchuck). The record is from RNAcentral. Lineage: Eukaryota; Metazoa; Chordata; Mammalia; Rodentia; Sciuridae.
AAGCUGUUCUUUUUAAUCUAACCUACAGAAUAAAAUCUGUGGACAAAGUGCUCCUGGCUGAGUGGAUAAGGGAGCUAAACAACGCGGAGCAAGCACAGACCAAUUUAGUGCCUCUCCCAGCCACAGCACGAAGGUGGCAGUCAGAACGAGGACACAGCUCUGUCCCAAGGCGCUUGUGUGCUUGUGUGAAGAGGCUGAAUCAGGACAGGACAGGAGUGGGGACUCAGAAGAAGCUGGGCCUGCCCCGAGUUCUGGCAGAUGGACUCCAGCGGGGACGCCACAUGAGGCCAGCGCUUCAGCAGGGACAGGUGGGGUCCCUGGGACCCUCCACUCCUUCUGGCUCAUUUCUGGACUGCAGUCUGUGCUGGCCCAGGGCGACCCUGCUCUGGUCGGCUCUCCUCCCCAGCAGCCCCUGCAGGCUCUCUCCCCCUCUGUUUGACGUCUGUCCUGCUGGACACCCACCCACAGGGCUGCCCCAGCAGUGGGGAGCCGGCGGGCAGGCGUCCCGGGACUCCCGCAGACGCCCACUAUGAGGGAACCUUGCUUCCUUUAAACUAGCAGAGGCAAGUCAUGAGUCGUCACCUUUAUCUGGUCCAGGGAAACUAUUUUGUGACUUAACCAGCUUCCCAAACCAGAGUCUGCCCCAAGGAAAAGAGAAAAUUACUUUAAUGACUAGCUAUACCUUGAAGAAGGAGCAAAGUAGCAUUUAGAAUAAAUAGAGUCGCCUUGUAAGUCUGUAGCCAAGUGCUUGCAAGAGAUUAAAGGGAGAUGAGAAGAGAUAUAAAAUACAGGACCAAAAUAGCAAAAUAAGAAAGUCCUUUCAUCCUAAAUUUGACUUAUAAAUGUCAUUGAACUCAUGAUUUUUUUUUUUUUUUUUUAGGAAAACAAAAACAACCAAAGGAACAAAGCUUACUUCUUAGCUCUGUCAACCAAGCAGGGUUAGAAAGUCAGCAUCCCUCAGGCCAGGACUGCCACCUCCGAGGGCCCAACUCCAUCAGAAAGGACAGAGCUCUUCUGAGCAACAUAAGGUGGGAGAAGCAGUAUUUGAGGAUAAAAAGUGUCAUGGUUCAAAAAUGGAUUUUUGAAAUAACAAAUGACAAAAGCUAUAAUGAAAACCUAAAAUGAUGGCCCCAAACAACUCAAAAGUCAAAUGCAUAGAACCCCAAGACUGGCCAGAGUGCUCUGGAGGUGGUGCAGGGGAUAUGCACCUGGCUGUUGCCUUACGAUGUGACCCGAUCAGUGGCCCCAGGUUUGUGAUUCACUGAGGAUGGUUGAUAAAGAAC